AUGAACGCUGGCGGCGUGCCUCAUACAUGCAAGUCGAGCGAACAGACGAGGAGCUUGCUCCUCUGACGUUAGCGGCGGACGGGUGAGUAACACGUGGAUAACCUACCUAUAAGACUGGGAUAACUUCGGGAAACCGGAGCUAAUACCGGAUAAUAUAUUGAACCGCAUGGUUCAAUAGUGAAAGACGGUUUUGCUGUCACUUAUAGAUGGAUCCGCGCCGCAUUAGCUAGUUGGUAAGGUAACGGCUUACCAAGGCAACGAUGCGUAGCCGACAUGAGAGGGUGAUCGGCCACACUGGAACUGAGACACGGUCCAGACUCCUACGGGAGGCAGCAGUAGGGAAUCUUCCGCAAUGGGCGAAAGCUUGACGGAGCAACGCCGCGUGAGUGAUGAAGGUCUUCGGAUCGUAAAACUCUGUUAUUAGGGAAGAACAAAUGUGUAAGUAACUAUGCACGUCUUGACGGUACCUAAUCAGAAAGCCACGGCUAACUACGUG
This 496-nucleotide ribosomal RNA is filed under the name uncultured bacterium. Its description in RNAcentral is "partial 16S ribosomal RNA". It matches the Rfam family "Bacterial small subunit ribosomal RNA", at positions 29 to 507 of the family's 1533-position model. The record is from RNAcentral.